RNAcentral lists this ribosomal RNA (496 nucleotides) under uncultured bacterium. RNAcentral's name for it is "partial 16S ribosomal RNA". It matches the Rfam family "Bacterial small subunit ribosomal RNA", at positions 29 to 507 of the family's 1533-position model. The record is from RNAcentral.
AUGAACGCUGGCGGCGUGCCUAAUACAUGCAAGUCGAGCGAACAGACGAGGAGCUUGCUCCUCUGACGUUAGCGGCGGACGGGUGAGUAACACGUGGAUAACCUACCUAUAAGACUGGGAUAACUUCGGGAAACCGGAGCUAAUACCGGAUAAUAUAUUGAACCGCAUGGUUCAAUAGUGAAAGACGGUUUUGCUGUCACUUAUAGAUGGAUCCGCGCCGCAUUAGCUAGUUGGUAAGGUAACGGCUUACCAAGGCAACGAUGCGUAGCCGGCCUGAGAGGGUGAUCGGCCACACUGGAACUGAGACACGGUCCAGACUCCUACGGGAGGCAGCAGUAGGGAAUCUUCCGCAAAGGGCGAAAGCCUGACGGAGCAACGCCGCGUGAGUGAUGAAGGUCUUCGGAUCGUAAAACUCUGUUAUUAGGGAAGAACAAAUGUGUAAGUAACUAUGCACGUCUUGACGGUACCUAAUCAGAAAGCCACGGCUAACUACGUG